AUGACUGAACGCCUCUAAGUCA
This 22-nucleotide non-coding RNA is filed under the name Arabidopsis thaliana (thale cress). The record is from RNAcentral. Lineage: Eukaryota; Viridiplantae; Streptophyta; Magnoliopsida; Brassicales; Brassicaceae. RNAcentral also lists the same sequence under 2 other names.